GCCUAAAGCGUCCGUAGCUGGCCCUGCAAGUCCGUCGGGAAAUCCACUCGCCUAACGAGUGGGCGUCCGGCGGAAACUACAGGGCUUGGGACCGGAAGACUUGAGGGGUACGUCUGGGGUAGGAGUGAAAUCCUGUAAUCCUGGACGGACCGCCGAUAGCGAAAGCACCUCAAGACGACGGAUCCGACAGUGAGGGACGAAAGCUAGGGUCUCGAAC
This 217-nucleotide ribosomal RNA is filed under the name uncultured archaeon. RNAcentral's name for it is "partial 16S ribosomal RNA". It matches the Rfam family "Archaeal small subunit ribosomal RNA", at positions 508 to 724 of the family's 1478-position model. The record is from RNAcentral.